Molecule: long non-coding RNA, 439 nt
Organism: Scomber scombrus (Atlantic mackerel)
Lineage: Eukaryota; Metazoa; Chordata; Actinopteri; Scombriformes; Scombridae
Exons: 3
Source: RefSeq, a predicted model, not a curated record
CACAACUCCUGCGUGACUCUUUCAUUAACACACAGCAACAGAACAGUGAAUCGCUAACAUGUCAGACAAAAAACAGACUGUGGACCUCGGUCUACUGGAGGAGGACGACGAGUUUGAAGAAUUCCCAGCCGAGGAUUGGACGGGGCUGGAUGAAGAUGAGGAUGCUCAUGUUUGGGAAGACAACUGGGACGAUGACAAUGUAGAGGAUGAUUUCUCAAAUCAGCUGAGAGCGGAGCUGGAAAAACAUGGUUACAAGAUGGAGACGUCAUAGCGGCUGACAAGGCCUUUCAGUAUUUGAUGACACUGGAUAUGGACAUUCAUGUUUGAAUAUUACUGGCCGACCACAAACCAGAAACCAGAAAUGGAUCUGAGGGUGUUAAUUAGUUUCUUUUUUAUUUGUAAGAAAUGUUGAUGAAAGUAAAGUGUUUGAAGAAAACAA